CGCGCUUUGGAAUGGUCUUGGAUGCAUUUGCUACGUCAGCUUGUUGCCGUCAAACAUGGCUAGACUCGGCAGCUUCACGUAACUGCCUUGAUCGGGAGACAAGUUAACCAACGCUUACUGUUCACUUUCUAUUGCUGCGUUAUCGCGCUCUUGCAUUUUUAGUCACUUCAUUGAUACUGCAUUAGCUUCAAGCUUUAGAUACCUUCGUGUCGGGCUCCACUGCUUGGUAAAAUUAACCGGUCGCUAUUUCCUCCGUGACAAACGGCUGCAUCUGCAUAUGCGGCUCGAUAAAUGUUGUCCUCGAUUUGACUAAGGCUCGUGGUUACAGAAUCUGUCUUCUCCGUCAUUCUAUUAAGGCGAAAGCCUUCAAUGGCUCAUACUCGCGACGUCCGUCCGUCUGUCCGUCCGUGCCCUGGUACCGUGGCAGCUGUGGCCUCUCCCCCUCAUUCUCUCAACAAUCGCGUGAUGGCACAGCGGCGCGCGUGGCAACGCUCCUUCGUCAGACGUCUGGUUGCAGCAGUCGAGUUAGUCGGAUGGCUCCCAAGCGCCCCGGUGAUUCCACGGCAAGCGGUUCGGAGAAGCGCCCCAAGCAUGUGGAUUCCCCCGAUACCAAACGCCAGAAGAAUGAGAGAAUGCGCAUGCGGCGGGCUAACAUGUCACCGGGCCCCAAGGUCAGGGAAGCGGAACGAAAGCCGUAGCAGUGGCUGUCGUCGCAACCGGGUCCCAGCACAGACAACACACCCAGUACAUCCAGUGCCAACAACGCUCCUCGACAGCACUCAGCACCGACUCGGGAUACCGUACACGGCAGCCACAAACUACUCGCAGAAGCAUUUCGUGCAGAACCCGUUUGGAGCUGUGUUCAGUGUGCGAUUGCUUCUGGUUCGCUAACGAUCUCUGCAAGGCCCUGCGACAGAGCCAUGGCAUUCUCACGGAGCAUUUCCCAAACAGAAAACGGCGCGUUCAAGGUGUGCCGAACCUGCCGCACCUCGCUCAAUGAAGUGAAGAUCCCAAACUACUGGACUAGCAGCGGCGCCAUCAACAGGGAUGUACAGCGUGGUUCUGCACACCCACUCUUCUGCCUAUGCUGUAGACGGAGUGAAGCACAGCUCAUAUGGUCUACCGUGUUACAGCGGCAUUUUCUCACCGCUGUGGUCCUGCUAGCAGACAGAACAUUCCUCCCCACCCUGCACUACUACUGGUUCUGCACUCGUGUUUUGGAUUGCGGCCCGCGAAGAUGCCCAGUUUGCUCCUGCACAUCUCUCCGGUCUACGCUCCAGAAGAGAUUACUUCGAGCACGAGCACCACCCUUUCCAUGAGUGACUGUGUCAUCACCUCUACAUCCUGUCGCCGAUGACGUCCUGCUGGAAUACUCUCUUCCUCAACCUCUAGUAUUGCUGGUUCUGAGCUGCUGUUUCCGAGUGCGGCCCACGACACCUAGCCCCCUCCU
RNAcentral lists this long non-coding RNA (1450 nucleotides) under Dermacentor andersoni. RNAcentral's name for it is "uncharacterized LOC126545071". The record is from RNAcentral. Lineage: Eukaryota; Metazoa; Arthropoda; Arachnida; Ixodida; Ixodidae.